RNAcentral lists this ribosomal RNA (505 nucleotides) under Hemidactylus mercatorius. RNAcentral describes it as "partial 16S ribosomal RNA". It matches the Rfam family "Bacterial large subunit ribosomal RNA", at positions 1850 to 2597 of the family's 2925-position model. Lineage: Eukaryota; Metazoa; Chordata; Lepidosauria; Squamata; Gekkonidae. The record is from RNAcentral.
AGGUCCAGCCUGCCCAGUGAAACUUAUUUCAACGGCCGCGGUAUCCUAACCGUGCAAAGGUAGCGUAAUCACUUGUCCUUUAAAUAUGGACCCGUAUGAAUGGCUAAUUGAGGGUGACACUGUCUCAUACGAUUAAUCAAUGAACCUGAUUUCCCAGUACAAAAGCUGGGAUAAAACCACAAGACGAGAAGACCCUGUGGAGCUUCAAGCCAAAAUACUGACUCACUCUAAAACAGUAUUCGCCUUAAGUUGGGGCAACUACGGAGAAAAACAGAACCUCCGUGAUACAAAGGAGUUUGAAACACCACCAAGGGGGACACCCCAAAAGUGCUGCCCUUUAUGACCCAGUAAAACUGAACACCGAACCAAGUUACCCCAGGGAUAACAGCGCCAUCCCCCUCAAGAGUCCACAUCAACAGGGGGGCUUACGACCUCGAUGUUGGAUCAGGACACCCAGGUGGUGCAGCCGCUACCAAUGGUCCGUUUGUUCAACGGCUAACGUCCU